RNAcentral lists this ribosomal RNA (447 nucleotides) under uncultured bacterium. Its description in RNAcentral is "bacterial SSU rRNA". It matches the Rfam family "Bacterial small subunit ribosomal RNA", at positions 355 to 825 of the family's 1533-position model. The record is from RNAcentral.
UGGGGAAUAUUGGACAAUGGGGGAAACCCUGAUGCAGCGACGCCGCGUGAACGAUGAAGCCCUUCGGGGUGUAAAGUUCUUUCGGCAGGAACGAUAAUGACGGUACCUGAAGAAGAAGCUGCGGCUAACUACGUGCCAGCAGCCGCGGUAAUACGUAGGCAGCAAACGUUGUUCGGAGUUACUGGGCGUAAAGAGUACGUAGGCGGUUUGCCAAGUUUGGUGUGAAAUCUCCUGGCUUAACUGGGAGGGUGCGCCGAAUACUGGCAGACUUGAGUAUUGGAGAGGAAAGCGGAAUUCCUGGUGUAGCGGUGAAAUGCGUAGAUAUCAGGAGGAACACCGGUGGUGUAGACGGCUUUCUGGACAAUCACUGACGCUGAGGUACGAAAGCGUGGGUAGCAAACAGGAUUAGAUACCCGAGUAGUCCCUGAGCGGGCUGGCAAGGCGCAU